UUUUUUUUUUUAUUUUUUAUUUUUUUUAACUUGGGAAAUUUUUAAAGUAAAUUAAUGGUUAUUCAACACCAGGAAAAACAGAAAAAAGAAUAACUACAAUAACACAAAAAUAGACCAAAUACCUAAAUGACACUAAGGUAAUAGCUUCAUUUAAAAAUAAUUUGAAAGUAAAAUAAAUUCCUAUUUUCAAAAGAAUACACACAAAAAAAAUUAGAAAUAAGAACAUUACAACAAGUGUAGUUGAUAAUACUGAAAUCUUAUCAUACUAUAAAUCAAUCAAUUUCACAAAAACAAUUUGGAGCUGGAACAUAAAUUUCUGAAAAGAAAUUAGUCAAUAUAAUGAUAUGCCUGUCAAAGAAAAGUUGACAAGAACUCAAUAUUUUAGGCAAUUGGCAUCUUAAAUUCAUGAGACAGAUAAUUCCUACAUUAUGUAAUCUGUUUGAGAAAAAAAGGGAUAAAGUGAAAACUACCUAUUUUAUGAAGGUCAUAUCCUGAAACCUAAGUCUGACAAAUAACAUUUUAGAAAAGAGGAAGGAAGAGAAUGAGGCAGCAGAGGGAGGGAGGGAGGGAGGAAGGAAGGAAAAAAGGGAUGAGGAGGGAAGGAAGAGGUGAGGGAAGGAAGGAAGAAAGCUAUGAGUCAGUCUCAAGAGAUUUAGAGGUAAAACCAAGUGCCAUUCUGACUAAUUGAGUGCAAUAUUACAUUAAAAGAAUCUCUUAAGAGCACAUAUUAAUGUAACAGUAUCAAAAAGUCAAAAGAAAAAAGUCAUCUUGUUAACCCUGAAAUAGUUUUCAAUAAAAUAAUACCUGGUCCUAAUGAAAAGACAAACUCUUAGUCAAUGAGCAAUAGAAGUAGAUUCUUUAAAUUGCCAAAAUCAUCAUUAACUGUAAAACACUGGAAGCAGUUCCAGUAGAAAGUGGAAUUAAGAUAAGAAUGCUGAUGAAAACACUUUUUUCCAUGAUUUGGGAAUUCUACCGAAUGUAAUAAGACAGGAAACAAAAGUCUCUAUAAAAGCAUAACUAUUGAAAAGGAGAAGUUGUUAGGGUAUUAAUACCAACAUGAAUGUUGGUAUUAAAGAAUGUAAAGAAUGAACCCAAAUGAUUGGUAUUAACAAUAGAAUUCACCAGGGAUAUGUAUGUGAAUAGAAAAAUGGAUAUCCUUUCCUAUAAAGUUGGAAAAAGAGUUCAUUGGAAAUAAUAACAACAACAACAACAAAAACAGGGGGGUGGAUCUUGAAAUAAAGCUGGCAAGAAAACCACAAAUAAACAAAAACAUGUGGACAAUGGUAUAAUACACUGUGUUUCUGGAUUGGAACAUAAGAUACUGUAAACAUAACUAUUCUAUAAUUAAUUUCUAGGUUUAAAAAGAAAACAGCAUUCAAUGUCUAUGAGAUUUUCUUUAGAACUUAAGAAAAUGUUCCUAAAGACCAUUUGUAAAUUUCAGGAAAAAGGAAUAAUUAGAAAUGAGGAUUUUCUUUUUUAGAUAGUAAAAAGAAUAAUAUAAAGCUAUAAUAAUGAAAACCAUAUACCUCUUAUAAAAAUCAACCACAGAUUAAUGAAAUAGGGUAGCCCUAAAAUUGACCCUGGUAUCUAUAAAAACCUGUCACAAAAAGAUACACAGCAAAACCAUAAGAAAUAGAUGGAUAAUGCUUAAAAUUUUUCUGAGGUGGAGAGAAGAAAUAAGAUAAUCUUACUUCAGGCUGAAAACCCAAAUAUUUCCCAGAUACAUUAAUGAUUUCAUUGUAAGAAAUAAACCCAAAACAAUCAAAUGAUAUGAACUGAGUCUUCACAACCUCUGCUUGAGAAAGGAUGAAACAUAAGAAGUUAUAAAAGGACUUAGAAAGAAGAGAGGUGCUAUCUUUGGACUAGAUAAGCAUUAAAACCUUCCAGAGAUUAGAAAGCAUCUUAGAAGUUAAAAAACCAAAUGCAAACUGGAUGAAAAACUUAGAACAAAUGGAAAAGGUUAACAUGUGUAUUGCACAAUGGGCUCUUAUAAAUAAUUAGGAAAAAUAUUAACACCCCCCAAUGGAAAAAUGGGCACAAGACAUUGAUUUACUUAUAGAAGAACAAAUGCAAAUGGCAAAUAAGCAUAUAUAUGAUCACCCUAAUUUAAAUACAAAUUAAAAUAAGUUCCUGUUUUUUAUUUAUCAAAAUGACAAGGAUAAAAUAUAUUUAAUAGUGAUAAGAAUGUGCUAAUUUAAUUAUUCUCAAACACUAUUGGUAAGACUGUAGAGUCAAUGUUUUGAAAAGUGAUUUAGCAAUAUAAAAAAAAAAAAAGGAAAUAGUUUGCAUCAUUGACCCAAUAAACCCACUUAUGGGGACAUAGCCUAAGGAAACAACUGAAAAAGAAAAAUUUAUGUACUGGCAAAAAAUGAAAUGAGACAAUAAGAAAAUGAUUAAUAAGUAAUGACACAUUCAUAGAUGGAAUAUUAACAGCCCCUAAAAUUCAUUUUUCAGAGAAUAACCUUGGCAAACUGCUAGCUAAUCUAACUAUAGUAUAAAAUAUUACAGAAUUAGAAUCUGAAUACUGUAAAUAAUCAGCUUAACCUCACAUGGCAGUUCAUUAACAAGAGCAUCUAUGCAGAAAGCUCUAGAAAAGUCAAACGGACUGGUUGAGUGAGAACUAGGUGCUCACUCUCCAGUAGAAAGGACUCUCUCUCACUGAUUUUUACCUUCAGAGUCUACUUCUGUAUAAGAUUAAGAAUCUGAAUAAUGGUACUUCAUCCUGGUACAAAGCUUCCACAGUGAUGUGGGGUAAGACGAGAGUGUCAUCUCCAGAUAUGUCAUUUUUGUUGCCGGUCACUGAAAGCUUGCUUGACAUUUCCUCCAGCCAUGCUCUGUUCCAGACAGGCUCUCGUAAGGAGUAAAGGCUUUAUUAAAAAUAUUAGCAUAUUUCGUCUCACCUCGGUAGAAACCAAUCUGAGAAAAUGGCUGAACAGUCAAUAAAUUAUUUUCUAAAAUUUGACUCUUUGGGAAAAAUUAACAUAGGUUUCACUUCAGGCUAUAUACUCAGAUAUUUUUCAGAUAGAUUAAGAUCAAUAUGAUCUUGAAAAACAGCCAAAAAAAAAAAAAAAA
This 3072-nucleotide long non-coding RNA is filed under the name Canis lupus familiaris (dog). RNAcentral describes it as "lncRNA (ENSCAFG00000052812.1)". The record is from RNAcentral. Lineage: Eukaryota; Metazoa; Chordata; Mammalia; Carnivora; Canidae.